UGCAAGUCGAACGGAACCUUUCGGGGUUUAGUGGCGGACGGGUGAGUAACGCGUGAGAAUCUGCCCUUAGGACGGGGACAACGACUGGAAACGGUCGCUAAAACCCGAUGUGCCGAGAGGUGAAAUAUUUAUAGCCUAAGGAUGAGCUCGCGUCAGAUUAGCUAGUUGGGGGGGUAAUGGCUCACCAAGGCGACGAUCUGUAGCUGGUCUGAGAGGAUGACCAGUCACACUGGAACUGAGACACGGUCCAGACUCCUACGGGAGGCAGCAGUGGGGAAUUUUCCGCAAUGGGCGCAAGCCUGACGGAGCAAGACCGCGUGGGGGAUGAAGGUUUGUGGAUUGUAAACCCCUUUUGUCAGGGAAGAAUAAUGACGGUACCUGACGAAUAAGCCUCGGCUAACUCCGUGCCAGCAGCCGCGGUAAUACGGAGGAGGCAAGCGUUAUCCGGAAUUAUUGGGCGUAAAGCGUCCGCAGGUGGUUAGUCAAGUCUGCUGUCAAAGCGCGAGGCUCAACUUCGUAAAGGCAGUGGAAACUGAUUCACUAGAGUGCGGUAGGGGUAGAGGGAAUUCCCAGUGUAGCGGUGAAAUGCGUACAUAUUGGGAAGAACACCGGUGGCGAAGGCGCUCUACUGGGCCUGCACUGACACUGAGGGACGAAAGCUAGGGGAGCGAAAGGGAUUAGAUACCCCUGUAGUCCUAGCUGUAAACGAUGGAUACUAGGUGUUGCCCGUAUCGACCCGGGCAGUGCCGUAGCUACCGCGUUAAGCAUCCCGCCUGGGGAGUACGCUCGCAAGAGUGAAACUCAAACGAAUUGACGGGGGCCCGCACAAGCCGGUGGAGUAUGUGGUUUAAUUCAUUGCAUCGCGAAGAACCUUACCAGGGCUUGACAUGGUCGCGAACCUUUGUGAAA
This 909-nucleotide ribosomal RNA is filed under the name uncultured cyanobacterium. RNAcentral's name for it is "bacterial SSU rRNA". It matches the Rfam family "Bacterial small subunit ribosomal RNA", at positions 56 to 1006 of the family's 1533-position model. Lineage: Bacteria; Bacillati; Cyanobacteriota. The record is from RNAcentral.